GUGAUAGCAGUUCAUUUUUUAUAACUAAAACUAAUUAUGAAAACGACUAGAAACUAAAUUAUUGACUAGAAAAUUAACUACUUGAAACAAAUUAAAUUGUCAUAUCUUUAAAGCACAUAGUCUUUCAAAUAGGCUGGUUCUCUGGUAGUACGUUUUGGUCUAGUUAUCGGAUUGACACAAUUUUGUUCCUUUUCAAUUGGUUCGCACUCGCUAACUAAAUUGUCUGAGUUCAUUUGCAGUUCUGCAGUAAUUGGUGCUUCUGUCGGUACAGAAGUUUUUGUUUCUGAAAUGUUAUCAAAGUUCAAUAGUUCCCGUUGUGGUGAUACAUCACGGAUUUGUACAUUUACACUUGUCGGUCGCAUGUGAGAUCGAUUACGUCUGUACGGAACUCCUUCCUGACUUUUAACUAUGUAUGCUCUUUCGCUUAAUCUUUCUUUUACUUUUCCCAAUUUCCAGUGCUGUCCUUGUUUGUGUUCGAAAUACACUGAGUCACCAGAUCCUAACGGUGGUAAGUUCUUAGCACGUUUGUCAUAACAUUUCUUGACAGAUUGUUUCCUUGUUGAUCGUGAUUCUGUGGUUUUCGCAUUCGGUACUUUUUGCUGUGUGUUAAUUUAUGGAAUCAUCGAACGGGUUUUUCUUCCGAACAUUAUUUCGGUCGGACUGAGACCAGUUUUCUGAGUAGGUGUGUUUCGCAAUUCAAGAAGAGCCUCGUAUUGAUCACGACCAUCUUGAAGAGUUUUCUUGAUCAUAUUCUUAAUCACUUUAACGGCGGAUUCGGCUUUUCCGUUUCCUUGAGGAUGAUUUGGAGACGACACCGUAUGAUUUAUUCCCCAUUUUGUUGCAAAUUGUCGAAAUUCAUCGGAACUAAACUGAGGUCCAUUAUCGGAU
RNAcentral lists this long non-coding RNA (888 nucleotides) under Mytilus galloprovincialis (Mediterranean mussel). The record is from RNAcentral. Lineage: Eukaryota; Metazoa; Mollusca; Bivalvia; Mytilida; Mytilidae.